UACGUAGGGUGCGAGCGUUAAUCGGAAUUACUGGGCGUAAAGCGCACGUAGGCGGAUAUUUAAGUCAGGGGUGAAAUCCCAGAGCUCAACUCUGGAACUGCCUUUGAUACUGGGUAUCUGGAGUAUGGAAGAGGUGAGUGGAAUUCCGAGUGUAGAGGUGAAAUUCGUAGAUAUUCGGAGGAACACCAGUGGCGAAGGCGGCUCACUGGUCCAUUACUGACGCUGAGGUGCGAAAGCGUGGGGAGCAAACAGG
This 253-nucleotide ribosomal RNA is filed under the name uncultured bacterium. RNAcentral's name for it is "partial 16S ribosomal RNA". It matches the Rfam family "Bacterial small subunit ribosomal RNA", at positions 524 to 776 of the family's 1533-position model. The record is from RNAcentral.